This 72-nucleotide transfer RNA is filed under the name Heterocephalus glaber (naked mole-rat). It matches the Rfam family "tRNA". From Rfam's summary of the family: Transfer RNA (tRNA) molecules are approximately 80 nucleotides in length. Their secondary structure includes four short double-helical elements and three loops (D, anti-codon, and T loops). The record is from Rfam by way of RNAcentral. Lineage: Eukaryota; Metazoa; Chordata; Mammalia; Rodentia; Bathyergidae.
GGGGUCAUAGCCCAAUGGUAGAGUACUUGCCUAGCAGGAGCAAGGCCCUGGGUUCAACCCCCAGCACCCCCA